This 301-nucleotide ribosomal RNA is filed under the name uncultured bacterium. RNAcentral's name for it is "partial 16S ribosomal RNA". It matches the Rfam family "Bacterial small subunit ribosomal RNA", at positions 509 to 807 of the family's 1533-position model. The record is from RNAcentral.
CAGCCGCCACGGUAAUACGGAGGGUGCAAGCGUUAAUCGGAAUUACUGGGCGUAAAGCGCACGCAGGCGGUCUGUCAAGUCAGAUGUGAAAUCCCCGGGCUUAACCAGGGAACUGCAUUUGAAACUGGCAGGCUAGAGUCUUGUAGAGGGGGGUAGAAUUCCAGGUGUAGCGGUGAAAUGCGUAGAGAUCUGGAGGAAUACCGGUGGCGAAGGCGGCCCCCUGGACAAAGACUGACGCUCAGGUGCGAAAGCGUGGGGAGCAAACAGGAUUAGAUACCCCGGUAGUCCCUGUCUCUUAUAC